This 361-nucleotide ribosomal RNA is filed under the name Candidatus Saccharibacteria bacterium RIFCSPHIGHO2_01_FULL_46_30. RNAcentral describes it as "bacterial SSU rRNA". It matches the Rfam family "Bacterial small subunit ribosomal RNA", at positions 1 to 372 of the family's 1533-position model. Lineage: Bacteria; Candidatus Saccharimonadota. The record is from RNAcentral.
UUUAUGGAGAGUUUGAUCCUGGCUCAGGAUGAAUGCUGGCGGCGUGCCUAACACAUGCAAGUCGAGCGGUAACAGGUCUAGUUUACUAGAUGCUGACGAGCGGCGGACGGCUGAGUAACGCGUGGGAAUGUGCCCCAAAGUGAGGAAUAACUGCCCGAAAGGGUAGCUAAUACCGCAUAUGAUCUUCGGAUUAAAGGAUUUAUCCGCUUUGGGAGCAGCCCGCGUUCGAUUAGGUAGUUGGUGAGGUAAUGGCUCACCAAGCCCACGAUCGAUAGCUGGUCUGAGAGGAUGACCAGCCAGACUGGAACUGAGACACGGUCCAGACUCCUACGGGAGGCAGCAGUGAGGAAUCUUCCACAAU